This 176-nucleotide ribosomal RNA is filed under the name uncultured bacterium. RNAcentral describes it as "partial 16S ribosomal RNA". It matches the Rfam family "Bacterial small subunit ribosomal RNA", at positions 1311 to 1500 of the family's 1533-position model. The record is from RNAcentral.
CUCGCCUACAUGAAGCUGGAAUUGCUAGUAAUCACAGGUCAGCAUACUGUGGUGAAUACGUUCCCGGGCCUUGUACACACCGCCCGUCACACCAUGAGAGUUGAGAAUACCCGAAGCCCAUGUCAAAGUGGUCGAAGGUAGGCUUGAUGAUUGGGGUGAAGUCGUAACAAGGUAAC